CCGAAAAAAAGUAGCGAAAAUCAAAAGAGAAACAAAUUGAUAGUUUAAUAACUGAAAAUGUAUAUAUUUUGGAGAAAUCUAUUUCAGAGAACAGAAACAACGAUUCUU
Chenopodium quinoa (quinoa) is the source of this 108-nucleotide long non-coding RNA. RefSeq lists it as uncharacterized. The transcript has 3 exons. The record is from RefSeq and is a predicted model, not a curated record. Lineage: Eukaryota; Viridiplantae; Streptophyta; Magnoliopsida; Caryophyllales; Amaranthaceae.